UACGAAGGGGGCUAGCGUUGUUCGGAUUUACUGGGCGUAAAGCGCACGUAGGCGGAUCGUUAAGUCGGGGGUGAAAUUCUGGAGCUCAACUCCAGAACUGCCUUCGAUACUGGCGAUCUUGAGUCCGGAAGAGGUGAGUGGAACUCCUAGUGUAGAGGUGAAAUUCGUAGAUAUUAGGAAGAACACCAGUGGCGAAGGCGGCUCACUGGUCCGGCAUUGACGCUGAGGCGCGAAAGCCAGGGGAGCAAACGGG
This 253-nucleotide ribosomal RNA is filed under the name uncultured bacterium. RNAcentral describes it as "partial 16S ribosomal RNA". It matches the Rfam family "Bacterial small subunit ribosomal RNA", at positions 524 to 776 of the family's 1533-position model. The record is from RNAcentral.